GCCAGAGCUGACAUGAAGUAGAACAGAGAUGAGCUGAGCUUUGCCCCACCUGCAGAUGUAUAUAAAGAAAUUGACACAACUAAUUAGAAGCCGGGUCCAAGAUUUUCAUUUAUAAAGUCUACUUCCAGCACUCACUCUUUGACCCCCUAUACUUCAUACUCCAGAGUGACUCCAAACAAAGACUAUGGAACUUCCCACAUACACCCCUUUUGGCUGAGCUGUAUGGCCAUAAGCGUAGAGACUUGCAGCUGUAUGUGGCCGUGAAUGAGAGACCCAGAGAUGGAAGCUUCACAGCAUUUGUGGCAGUAGCGGCAGAAAUGCAUCACACAUUUGAGUCCCUAGAUGGCCUUGUGGAGAAACGUCUACCUGCCACCCUGGACUAUUAGAAAUAUUCUUCAAACAAAACCUUAUGAGGAACAGAACCAUAGCUCCUGAAACUGUGUGAAAGCAAGAGAAAGAGAGUCUUUUGUCAAUAGUCUGUCCACACAUAUCCAGACCCAACCCAAAGUUACAACCUGACCUCCACGAUCACUUUCCCUCACAGGGACCGCACUAUGAGGAACACGCCAAAGUUGAGAAAGGGUAAGAUUCUUGCCCAACCUCAAGACCAGUGCUAUUCUCUUCACGCCAAGGCAGGAAGAUCACUGAAGCCCAGAAGUUCGAGGCUAAAAUGAGCUAUGAUUGUGCCAACGCACUUCA
Molecule: long non-coding RNA, 699 nt
Filed under: Homo sapiens (human)
Lineage: Eukaryota; Metazoa; Chordata; Mammalia; Primates; Hominidae
Description: HSALNT0336314
Source: RNAcentral